UUAAAUUGAAGAGUUUGAUCAUGGCUCAGAUUGAACGCUGGCGGCAGGCCUAACACAUGCAAGUCGAACGGUAACAGAAAGCAGCUUGCUGCUUUGCUGACGAGUGGCGGACGGGUGAGUAAUGUCUGGGAAACUGCCCGAUGGAGGGGGAUAACUACUGGAAACGGUAGCUAAUACCGCAUAACGUCGCAAGACCAAAGAGGGGGACCUUCGGGCCUCUUGCCAUCGGAUGUGCCCAGAUGGGAUUAGCUAGUAGGUGGGGUAACGGCUCACCUAGGCGACGAUCCCUAGCUGGUCUGAGAGGAUGACCAGCCACACUGGAACUGAGACACGGUCCAGACUCCUACGGGAGGCAGCAGUGGGGAAUAUUGCACAAUGGGCGCAAGCCUGAUGCAGCCAUGCCGCGUGUAUGAAGAAGGCCUUCGGGUUGUAAAGUACUUUCAGCGGGGAGGAAGGGAGUAAAGUUAAUACCUUUGCUCAUUGACGUUACCCGCAGAAGAAGCACCGGCUAACUCCGUGCCAGCAGCCGCGGUAAUACGGAGGGUGCAAGCGUUAAUCGGAAUUACUGGGCGUAAAGCGCACGCAGGCGGUUUGUUAAGUCAGAUGUGAAAUCCCGGGCUCAACCUGGGAACUGCAUCUGAUACUGGCAAGCUUGAGUCUCGUAGAGGGGGUAGAAUUCCAGGUGUAGCGGUGAAAUGCGUAGAGAUCUGGAGGAAUACCGGUGGCGAAGGCGGCCCCCUGGACGAAGACUGACGCUCAGGUGCGAAAGCGUGGGGAGCAAACAGGAUUAGAUACCCUGGUAGUCCACGCCGUAAACGAUGUCGACUUGGAGGUUGUGCCCUUGAGGCGUGGCUUCCGGAGCUAACGCGUUAAGUCGACCGCCUGGGGAGUACGGCCGCAAGGUUAAAACUCAAAUGAAUUGACGGGGGCCCGCACAAGCGGUGGAGCAUGUGGUUUAAUUCGAUGCAACGCGAAGAACCUUACCUGGUCUUGACAUCCACGGAAGUUUUCAGAGAUGAGAAUGUGCCUUCGGGAACCGUGAGACAGGUGCUGCAUGGCUGUCGUCAGCUCGUGUUGUGAAAUGUUGGGUUAAGUCCCGCAACGAGCGCAACCCUUAUCCUUUGUUGCCAGCGGUCCGGCCGGGAACUCAAAGGAGACUGCCAGUGAUAAACUGGAGGAAGGUGGGGAUGACGUCAAGUCAUCAUGGCCCUUACGACCAGGGCUACACACGUGCUACAAUGGCGCAUACAAAGAGAAGCGACCUCGCGAGAGCAAGCGGACCUCAUAAAGUGCGUCGUAGUCCGGAUUGGAGUCUGCAACUCGACUCCAUGAAGUCGGAAUCGCUAGUAAUCGUGGAUCAGAAUGCCACGGUGAAUACGUUCCCGGGCCUUGUACACACCGCCCGUCACACCAUGGGAGUGGGUUGCAAAAGAAGUAGGUAGCUUAACCUUCGGGAGGGCGCUUACCACUUUGUGAUUCAUGACUGGGGUGAAGUCGUAACAAGGUAACCGUAGGGGAACCUGCGGUUGGAUCACCUCCUUACCUUAAAGAAGC
This 1554-nucleotide ribosomal RNA is filed under the name Escherichia coli. Its description in RNAcentral is "bacterial SSU rRNA". It matches the Rfam family "Bacterial small subunit ribosomal RNA". Lineage: Bacteria; Pseudomonadati; Pseudomonadota; Gammaproteobacteria; Enterobacterales; Enterobacteriaceae. The record is from RNAcentral.